AUGGUUGGCUUGCCUAGCUUUCACUAGUAGGCGUCAUCGCGACUCCCGAGGGUGGGAAAUCCGGGUCGUGACAUCGGCUCACACGAUAUUAACUCAAUUUUUUAAGGGGGAAGGCUCAUCAAGGUAGCUUGCUGCCUGGGCCUUCACGCGUUGCUCUGGUCUUGCACUAUUGCUUAGGCCUGGCGCACUCCAC
Molecule: small nuclear RNA, 193 nt
Filed under: Nicotiana attenuata
Lineage: Eukaryota; Viridiplantae; Streptophyta; Magnoliopsida; Solanales; Solanaceae
Description: snRNA U2
Rfam family: U2 spliceosomal RNA
About the family: U2 is a small nuclear RNA (snRNA) component of the spliceosome (involved in pre-mRNA splicing). Complementary binding between U2 snRNA (in an area lying towards the 5' end but 3' to hairpin I) and the branchpoint sequence (BPS) of the intron results the bulging out of an unpaired adenosine, on the BPS, which initiates a nucleophilic attack at the intronic 5' splice site, thus starting the first of two transesterification reactions that mediate splicing.
Source: Rfam by way of RNAcentral